This 253-nucleotide ribosomal RNA is filed under the name uncultured bacterium. Its description in RNAcentral is "partial 16S ribosomal RNA". It matches the Rfam family "Bacterial small subunit ribosomal RNA", at positions 524 to 776 of the family's 1533-position model. The record is from RNAcentral.
UACAGAGGGCUCAAGCGUUGCUCGGAUUCAUUGGGCGUAAAGGGUGUGUAGGUGGCGCGCUAAGUCGGGUGUGAAAUUUCGGAGCUUAACUCCGAAACUGCAUUCGAUACUGGCGUGCUUGAGGACUGGAGAGGAGACUGGAAUUCAUGGUGUAGCGGUGAAAUGCGUAGAGAUCAUAAGGAAGACCAGUGGCGAAGGCGGGUCUCUGGACAGUUCCUGACGCUGAGGCGCGAAGGCCAGGGGAGCAAACGGG